This is an RNA transcript of Equus caballus (horse), 1180 nucleotides long. It is a transcript of the gene named centromere protein V, with no coding region annotated. NCBI's taxonomy places the organism in Eukaryota, Metazoa, Chordata, Mammalia, Perissodactyla, Equidae. The record is from RefSeq and is a predicted model, not a curated record.
GGCGGCGGGGACGCGCGGGCAGCGAGGCCUGCGCGCCCGGCUGCGGGAGCCAUGCGGCGGGCCAGGAGCAGCGCGGCGGCCAAGCCACGCGGGCAGAAGCGGCCUGGGGCCUCUGCGGCCCCCGCAGCCAUAGCCUCGGCCGCAGCCGCCAGCCACGCACGGCGCCCCGCGGGCCAGGCCGGGGGCGGGAGCCGGGCGGCGGCGAGGCAGUCGUCGGCGAAGCGGCGGCCGAGGCAGUCGUCGCCACGGGCCCAGGAGGCGAGCCCCGGGGAGCCGCCGCCGGAGCUAGCACCGCUGCCGCCGCCGCCGCCGCCCCCCGCGACCCCGACGUCCUCGGCGGACCUGGGCGAGCAGCGGGAGCGCUGGGAGACGUUCCAGAAGCGGCAGAGGCUCACCUUCGAGGGCGCCGCCAAGCUGCUGUUGGACACCUUUGAAUACCAGGGCCUGGUGAAACACACCGGAGGCUGCCACUGUGGAGCAGUCCGCUUUGAAGUUUGGGCCUCGGCAGACUUGCACAUUUUUGACUGCAACUGCAGUAUUUGCAAGAAGAAGCAGAAUAGACACUUCAUUGUUCCGGCUUCUCGCUUCAAGCUCCUGAAGGGAGCUGAGAGCAUAACCACAUACACGUUCAACACGCACAAAGCGCAGCACACCUUCUGUAAGAGAUGUGGCGUUCAGAGCUUUUACACUCCCCGCUCAAACCCCGGAGGGUUCGCAGCUCCUGUUUGUUCCUCAUCUGUCAUGUGGAGAGUCCUUCCUGCCUACCUCGAGGAUCAGGAAAGGCUUUUGGAAAGUAUAAAAUCUUGUACAGAUGGGGGAAGUAUUUAAGGCUUAGGAAAUUAUCUGUCCAAACCCUGGAAAAGGCCUGUGAAUUCAUCAGGCUGUCACAUGGAGAUCGCUCUGGGCUUGAGUCUGUCUACUCUUUUGUACUCUCAGCUUAGUUCUGAAUGAUGUGCAGCCUCUGCCAUCGCUGGUUCGAGAAGUCUGAUCCCCCUCUGAGGUGAGGACAGCAAGCGAGGAGGAUGACAGUGUAAGCCAUGGAAUCGCCCCACACUGCCUGGAUGAGGGCACUGUGCGGAGUGUGGUCAUUGAGGAGUUCAAUGGCAGCGACUGGGAGAAGGCCAUGAAGGAGCACAAGACCAUCAAGAACAUGUCUAAGGAGUGAGCUCCUGCUUCUCUC